UGGUAUUGAUUGGUGCUUGCAUCAUGAUUUACAUUUGAGUGAGUGGCGAACUGGUGAGUAACACGUGGGAAACCUGCCCAGAAGCGGGGGAUAACACCUGGAAACAGAUGCUAAUACCGCAUAACAACUUGGACCGCAUGGUCCGAGCUUGAAAGAUGGCUUCGGCUAUCACUUUUGGAUGGUCCCGCGGCGUAUUAGCUAGAUGGUGGGGUAACGGCUCACCAUGGCAAUGAUACGUAGCCGACCUGAGAGGGUAAUCGGCCACAUUGGGACUGAGACACGGCCCAAACUCCUACGGGAGGCAGCAGUAGGGAAUCUUCCACAAUGGACGAAAGUCUGAUGGAGCAACGCCGCGUGAGUGAAGAAGGGUUUCGGCUCGUAAAACUCUGUUGUUAAAGAAGAACAUAUCUGAGAGUAACUGUUCAGGUAUUGACGGUAUUUAACCAGAAAGCCACGGCUAACUACGUGCCAGCAGCCGCGGUAAUACGUAGGUGGCAAGCGUUGUCCGGAUUUAUUGGGCGUAAAGCGAGCGCAGGCGGUUUUUUAAGUCUGAUGUGAAAGCCUUCGGCUCAACCGAAGAAGUGCAUCGGAAACUGGGAAACUUGAGUGCAGAAGAGGACAGUGGAACUCCAUGUGUAGCGGUGAAAUGCGUAGAUAUAUGGAAGAACACCAGUGGCGAAGGCGGCUGUCUGGUCUGUAACUGACGCUGAGGCUCGAAAGUAUGGGUAGCAAACAGGAUUAGAUACCCUGGUAGUCCAUACCGUAAACGAUGAAUGCUAAGUGUUGGAGGGUUUCCGCCCUUCAGUGCUGCAGCUAACGCAUUAAGCAUUCCGCCUGGGGAGUACGGCCGCAAGGCUGAAACUCAAAGGAAUUGACGGGGGCCCGCACAAGCGGUGGAGCAUGUGGUUUAAUUCGAAGCUACGCGAAGAACCUUACCAGGUCUUGACAUACUAUGCAAAUCUAAGAGAUUAGACGUUCCCUUCGGGGACAUGGAUACAGGUGGUGCAUGGUUGUCGUCAGCUCGUGUCGUGAGAUGUUGGGUUAAGUCCCGCAACGAGCGCAACCCUUAUUAUCAGUUGCCAGCAUUAAGUUGGGCACUCUGGUGAGACUGCCGGUGACAAACCGGAGGAAGGUGGGGAUGACGUCAAAUCAUCAUGCCCCUUAUGACCUGGGCUACACACGUGCUACAAUGGAUGGUACAACGAGUUGCGAACUCGCGAGAGUAAGCUAAUCUCUUAAAGCCAUUCUCAGUUCGGAUUGUAGGCUGCAACUCGCCUACAUGAAGUCGGAAUCGCUAGUAAUCGCGGAUCAGCAUGCCGCGGUGAAUACGUUCCCGGGCCUUGUACACACCGCCCGUCACACCAUGAGAGUUUGUAACACCCAAAGUCGGUGGGGUAACCUUUUAGGAACCAGCCGCCUAAGGUGGGACAGAUGAU
This 1436-nucleotide ribosomal RNA is filed under the name Lactiplantibacillus plantarum. RNAcentral describes it as "bacterial SSU rRNA". It matches the Rfam family "Bacterial small subunit ribosomal RNA". The record is from RNAcentral. Lineage: Bacteria; Bacillati; Bacillota; Bacilli; Lactobacillales; Lactobacillaceae.